Molecule: long non-coding RNA, 682 nt
Filed under: Helianthus annuus (common sunflower)
Lineage: Eukaryota; Viridiplantae; Streptophyta; Magnoliopsida; Asterales; Asteraceae
Description: sRNA HanXRQr2_Chr14g0664021
Source: RNAcentral
UUUAAAAACACACAAUGAGAAACUAAAAGCAAACACAAACCUCAACACUAAAUUCUAGCGAAACUCACCAAAGAUUCUAUAACCUGUACCUCCAAAAGAAUAAUGUGCAAUCGGACCUCAAAAGUCAAAACCCAUAUCUAAAACCCUGAAUCCACUAACCGCCGCCAUCACCGCCACUGCCACUGCCACUGCCACUGCCACCGCCAUCUAUAAGCUCUUUCAGAACUACAGAUGAGAUGACUGACUUUACGAGUGAAUUCAACAAAUCCCAUGUAUUAUAUCCAUUCGUUCUACAUAAGUCUAUGCGGUCGUAUACCCUUUCCAAAGUGAGGUUGCAUUAAUCGAACAUAUAAACCAUUUUUCGCCAUUAAAGAGUCGUGGGUCCCGUCUUCAACAAUCCGACCCCCGUUUAAGACAACAAUGUUUAUCAAGGGCCUCUUGAACCACCCGACUUGACUCUGACUCAAUCGAUGAGCUGGCUUCGUCUAAUAAUAAGAUUGGUGCGUUCUUCAACACAACCCGAGCGAUUGCAAUCCUCUGUUUCUGACCCGGGGUUAGAUCCACGCCCCUCAUUCCCACAUGGGUAUCGUACCCGUGGGGUAAGUUGCUGAUGAAAUGAUGAGCAUUUGCUAUUCUUGCAGCUUCUUUAAUUUCCGCCUCGCUGGCGUUAUGUCUUGCGUAU